GUUUUGUUCAAACAAAUCUGAUCAGUCAAAUCAUCAGCCAACAGUAAAAUUGGAGCGUACUGUGUACAGAGAAGAGACAAGUGGAGACUGCAUGAGGUCUGCAGAUACAUGGUUACUGCUUUGUGUGGUCUGGAGUGAGUUACCUCUGCAUCCAUCUCUGUUGCUGUAUCAGCAAGAACAAGCCACGAUGUUAUAACUUGCGCUGGAGACUUUGUGUCUGAGAAUAAGAAAGCACCUUUAAAUACUCCCUGCCUCUAGUAAGCUGAAUGCUCCUGGUUUCCAGCUCUGCAGUGCAUGUAGGCACUUGGCCAGCAGGAUCCGAGCUGGGCCUACGAGCGGGAAGCAUCUCUGUGGUGUCUCUAGCAAGCUCCUGACCCUCUACAGCAGGGCAAACGCUUCAAAGGCACGCUGCCAGACUCAGUGUAUUGCUGUUUGCAAUGAGGUUGCAGAGUUGAAGGCAGUCUUCCCUGACCGUGCUGUUCACCUGUUGUAAGAUAUGGAGCUAUUUGUUUCUGAAAGCCUGAGCAGACCCCAAAUGAGCGUACUAAAGUCAGUUUAACCUUCAGAAAGAGUCAAAAGAGAUUCAUGGAGAUUGCCGAUGGCAUUAUUCCCGAGGAAGACUGGAGAGAGAAAAGAAAACUCUAAAUUACCCAUGUAAACAGCUCAUUCAGAAAUGGAUGCGCAACACCAACCCCCAAUACAUUGUUUUCCAGUACAUGAGCAGAAGCUUUUGGCUGCUGCAGGAGAGUUCCCCUCUGUCUCAUAUUAAGCUGCUGUAAAGUAUUUGCCAGUGCUUUGAUGUUCUUCCACCCAAAGAGAAUUAAUCGCCAAGAUGGAAUGAAGAGCACAGCACAGCGAGAAGGCAUGGUGCAGAUCUCUCGGGACUAAUUAUGCUCUUAAAGGAGAUAGCCGUAUUCCUCUGGGAAAGAUGAGGCACUACCUGCUGCUCAGGUCACACCCUCUGCACUGGCUGCAGGCACUACAGGAAACGUGCGGUGACAGAGCAGUAACCCGGCUGUCUGUCUCCCGGGAGGACUGUCAAGCAUCUGCAUCUCCUCGACUGCUGCUGAUGUGGUAGUAACCUGUCCCACAGACACUAACGAGAUGUCCACAUCCUCAGCUGACCUGGAGAAACACUUCCAAACUGAAGAGGCCGUACAUCCCACUUUCUGGUGAGACCCAUGCAAGGCAGCUAUGAACUGUGAAAAAUUCUUCACAGAAAACCAUCUUUCUGAGAAGAAGAGAGAAAAUAGCCUUCUCGGAUGGGAAAGGGAGGUGUCUUUUUGUCCAUCAUGCUGCAAACCAGCGGGCAGAGGUAAAGCUCAGAAGCUUGAGCACAACACUGGGUCCUCGCCCAUGCCCGUCUGACUCUUCCCAGGCAAGUCUGGGAUGUAUGGUGGUCCUUAGUCCUAUUCUCCUUCCUGCCCUGCUUUCUGUAGAAGAAGGGGCAGGGAUUUUGAGUCUUUCAGCAGCAAAGCUACUGCGAGGGGAACCACUCCUAUCCUGUCAAGAAGUGCCAGUCAGAAGAAAUACUAAGAACAACAGAGAUAAGGAUUUUCAGACGCACAAAUGAAAAUACAUCAUCACAACACUGAAUGAAGAGUCAAGGAAAGUACUGAUGAUAAGAAGCUGGAUACACUGAAGAUAUUCAAGACUGAUGGACCAGAACCUCUUGCAUCCAUACCUGUGACAAAUGAAAAAGGACUCAAUUCCUGCAAAUACAUGCUGUGACAACUGCUGAGUGUCAACUGCAAAUUUAGUAAUGACUCACUACAAUAAGGCAGCGACACAUCUCUCUGUAUCCCAGCGGAUAUAAAGGAGGAUCUGAUAUUGGCUGGGGACCCUGUGUAAGCACAUUAAAAAGACACGGCGAUUCAGCU
Cuculus canorus (common cuckoo) is the source of this 1880-nucleotide long non-coding RNA. RefSeq lists it as uncharacterized. NCBI's taxonomy places the organism in Eukaryota, Metazoa, Chordata, Aves, Cuculiformes, Cuculidae. The record is from RefSeq and is a predicted model, not a curated record. The transcript has 12 exons.